UGGAUAGCGCAGGUAAUCAGACUUCCAAGAAAAACCGCUAAGCUUCAGGUUAUAAAAACCCGUACCGCAAACCGACACAGGUAUCCGGGAAGAGAAUUCUAAGGCGCUCGAGUGAAUCAUGGCUAAGGAACUCGGCAAAAUGGCCCUGUAACUUCGGGAGAAGGGGCGCUGGCAGCAAUGUCAGCCGCAGUGAAAAGGCCCA
RNAcentral lists this ribosomal RNA (202 nucleotides) under uncultured Chaetoceros. RNAcentral's name for it is "partial Bacterial large subunit ribosomal RNA". It matches the Rfam family "Bacterial large subunit ribosomal RNA", at positions 1584 to 1794 of the family's 2925-position model. The record is from RNAcentral. Lineage: Eukaryota; Bacillariophyta; Thalassiosirophyceae; Chaetocerotales; Chaetocerotaceae.